This is a long non-coding RNA of Macadamia integrifolia, 1321 nucleotides long. RefSeq lists it as uncharacterized. NCBI's taxonomy places the organism in Eukaryota, Viridiplantae, Streptophyta, Magnoliopsida, Proteales, Proteaceae. The transcript has 5 exons. The record is from RefSeq and is a predicted model, not a curated record.
CCUUCUCUCCAAUGUCGAAGAAGAAGAAACACUCACAAAGACAGAAAGUCUCAGACCUCUCUUCCCUCUCUGCUCAGGUGUUUACACAUAGAACGACUAGGAAGCAGAGGACGCCAGAAGAAAGUGAUCGGAGAUAGAAGGGGAGAAAAAUUGAGAAAGUGCACAUCAUUCGCCAUGAUAAUUGGGCCAAAUCAUUCUAUUAAUUGGUCCAUCUUAGUCAUCGGUGCUGUGGAAUUUCUCUUACAAAGUGCACCUCUCUUACUUUAUAAUUUCAAGUUAAUCACUGAUAUAGAGGAUGUGUGUACAGAUCGGAUGAACGAUUUACCAGAAGAUUAUAAGAGGGAACUGGAGCAAGUGCAUUUCAACCAUGGGUUACCUCUAUGACCAUGUCACCCUCAACAACAACAAUAACAACAAUAACAACACUAUUGGGUUCAUAGAUUUCUUGGGGGAAACACCAGUAAUGCAUCUCUUUGCCCUCGUCGUUCCAUCAUCCCCACACUCAAGAGGUAAGUAUGGUGAACAAGAUUCGACUUUGGCACCACCCAACCUAUUGAUGACAAGGAGUCCCUCUAAGUAACAUCAACAACCCAUUUUAGAGAGCUGAGGUGGCUGCCCUGAAUCCCCUUGAUGGCUCCAAGGCAUGUACACUCUGUAAGAGGAACAGUACAUCAGUAUAUCACUCUAGCCCAUUGGCCUCGAGGCCCCAAGAUCCUUUGUAAUGCUUGUGGCAUUUGGUUUAAGAAGCUGGAAAAGAAAGCUAUGCAGAUCUCGAGACACAUAAAUGUUAUUAAGAAACCUUUCUCAGUUUUGUUGCAAAGCAAAUUUAAGGAAAGGAAAGUGAAAUUUUCAAACUUAAAAAAUAAACUUUUGUAAUCAAUAACCUUUGUGAUUGUAUAAACUGUUUAAAUUUUUUAACAUAUCUAAUAAUAAUAUAUUUUAUCUGUAAAUUUUAUUGUUAUUGUUAUUAUUAUUAUUAUUAUUAUUAUUAUUAUUAUUAUUAUUAUUUUGAUAACAUAGCAAAAUGUUUUGGAUGCACAUUCAAAUGAAACUUUUAAGGAGCCCUAGGUAAGGAGAUGGUAAUGGUGGGUAAAUGUGGUAUGAGGAACAUGAACGAUCGAUAUCAAACAAAAACCCCCUUUAAGGAUGAUGAUGUACAUGAUAUAUAAUUCAGGUUCGAUUUUUUGCUUGCUUCCUUUUACAUGGUUUUUGUUGCAACGUUGAAUUGAAAAUGAAAAACGGACGGUGGGUUUACCGGAUUGAGCUUUAAGCCUAGUAAUAAUAACUUUUUUUUUUUUUUUUUUUUUUUUCUUUUUUUAAU